This 253-nucleotide ribosomal RNA is filed under the name uncultured bacterium. RNAcentral describes it as "partial 16S ribosomal RNA". It matches the Rfam family "Bacterial small subunit ribosomal RNA", at positions 524 to 776 of the family's 1533-position model. The record is from RNAcentral.
UACGUAGGCAGCAAGCGUUGUUCGGAGUUACUGGGCGUAAAGGGUGUGUAGGCGGUUGGAUAAGUGUGGUGUGAAAUCUCCCGGCUUAACUGGGAGGGUGCGCUACAAACUGUCUGACUAGAGUGUGGGAUGGGUAAGUGGAAUUCCCGGUGUAGCGGUGAAAUGCGCAGAUAUCGGGAGGAACACCGGUGGCGAAGGCGGUUCUCUGGGCCUUACCUGACGCUGAGGAGCGAAAGCGUGGGGAGCGAACAGG